AUUUCCAAUUUUUCCAAAUCGAGGCACCAAUCACAGCCGUUACACUAUGAAUUACGCCCAGAGGCAUUUGAGCGGCAUCCAUUGGUGACGCCCCUUUGGAAAUAGGCUGUGAAUUAACCUUCCCCCGACCCAUUCUUAGU
Molecule: long non-coding RNA, 140 nt
Organism: Etheostoma spectabile (orangethroat darter)
Lineage: Eukaryota; Metazoa; Chordata; Actinopteri; Perciformes; Percidae
Exons: 3
Source: RefSeq, a predicted model, not a curated record